GACGAACGCUGGCGGCGUGCUUAACACAUGCAAGUCGAACGGAAAGGCCCUGCUUUUGUGGGGUGCUCGAGUGGCGAACGGGUGAGUAACACGUGAGUAACCUGCCCUUGACUUUGGGAUAACUUCAGGAAACUGGGGCUAAUACCGGAUAGGAGCUCCUGCUGCAUGGUGGGGGUUGGAAAGUUUCGGCGGUUGGGGAUGGACUCGCGGCUUAUCAGCUUGUUGGUGGGGUAGUGGCUUACCAAGGCUUUGACGGGUAGCCGGCCUGAGAGGGUGACCGGCCACAUUGGGACUGAGGGACGGCCCAGACUCCUACGGGAGGCAGCAGUGGGGAAUAUUGCACAAUGGGCGGAAGCCUGAUGCAGAAACGCCGCGUGCGGGAUGACGGCCUUCGGGUUGUAAACCGCUUUCGCCUGUGACGAAGCGUGAGUGACGGUAAUGGGUAAAGAAGCACCGGCUAACUACGUG
Molecule: ribosomal RNA, 468 nt
Filed under: uncultured bacterium
Lineage: Bacteria
Description: partial 16S ribosomal RNA
Rfam family: Bacterial small subunit ribosomal RNA
Source: RNAcentral